Molecule: ribosomal RNA, 496 nt
Filed under: uncultured bacterium
Lineage: Bacteria
Description: partial 16S ribosomal RNA
Rfam family: Bacterial small subunit ribosomal RNA
Source: RNAcentral
AUGAACGCUGGCGGCGUGCCUAAUACCUGCAAGUCGAGCGAACGGACGAGAAGCUUGCUUCUCUGAUGUUAGCGGCGGACGGGUGAGUAACACGUGGAUAACCUACCUAUAAGACUGGGAUAACUUCGGGAAACCGGAGCUAAUACCGGAUAAUAUUUUGAACCGCAUGGUUCAAAAGUGAAAGACGGUCUUGCUGUCACUUAUAGAUGGAUCCGCGCUGCAUUAGCUAGUUGGUAAGGUAACGGCUUACCAAGGCAACGAUGCAUAGCCGACCUGAGAGGGUGAUCGGCCACACUGGAACUGAGACCCGGUCCAGACUCCUACGGGAGGCAGCAGUAGGGAAUCUUCCGCAAUGGGCGAAAGCCUGACGGAGCAACGCCGCGUGAGUGAUGAAGGUCUUCGGAUCGUAAAACUCUGUUAUUAGGGAAGAACAUAUGUGUAAGUAACUGUGCACAUCUUGACGGUACCUAAUCAGAAAGCCACGGCUAACUACGUG